AAACCAACAGGGAUUGCCCCAGUAACGGCGAGUGAAGCGGCAAAAGCUCAAAUUUGAAAUCUGGCCUCCUACGGGGGUCCGAGUUGUAAUUUGUAGAGGAUGCUUCGGGUGUGGCCGCCGUCUAAGUUCCUUGGAACAGGACGUCAGAGAGGGUGAGAAUCCCGUCUUGGGCGGCCGGUCCGCGCCCGUGUGAAGCUCCUUCGACGAGUCGAGUUGUUUGGGAAUGCAGCUCUAAGCGGGUGGUAAAUUUCAUCUAAAGCUAAAUACUGGUCGGAGACCGAUAGCGCACAAGUAGAGUGAUCGAAAGGUUAAAAGCACCUUGAAAAGGGAGUUAAACAGCACGUGAAAUUGUUGAAAGGGAAGCGCUUGCGGCCAGACUCGGGGGCGGGGUUCAGCGGGCGCUCGUCGCCCGUGCACUCCCCGUCUCCCGGGCCAGCAUCAGUUUCGACGGCCGGUCAAAGGCCUCCGGAAUGUGUCGUCUCUCGGGACGUCUUAUAGCCGGGGGUGCAAUGCGGCCCGUCGGGACUGAGGAACGCGCUUCGGCUCGGAUGCUGGCGUAAUGGCCGUAAGCGGC
Molecule: ribosomal RNA, 574 nt
Filed under: Nannizzia fulva
Lineage: Eukaryota; Fungi; Ascomycota; Eurotiomycetes; Onygenales; Arthrodermataceae
Description: eukaryotic LSU rRNA
Rfam family: Eukaryotic large subunit ribosomal RNA
Source: RNAcentral